UGUCUGUUAACUACAACUUCUAUUUCCCUCACAAAACAGAUAUCUUAUAUAUACACUACCCUGUAUCCAUCCUCCCUCCUUCCCAUCUCCUUUCUUAUGGCAGAGAACCAUAUCUGCCAGUUCUAGGCUGCUACGGUGAUCCUGACACUUAUUUUCCAGAAGAUGGAAGAGGCAACAAAGGGUUCAACUAUUCUGGAUCUGAUCCUAACCAACAAAGUAUUUUCUGAAGAAGACAAAGGGAAGGAGAAGAAGAAGGGGAGGCCAAUGGAAUAAGCGAGUCUGAUCGGACUGACCUUGGAAUUGAUGUUAACUGGGAAGGAGGUGAUCGUGAAAUAUUUUUGGACUGUUGUGAGGCAAUGGAAAGGCAUUGCUGCUUAUUCUCCUCAAAGGAUACAUCCACACUGCAUUGUUGUAGCAGUCUGAUCCCACUUUAGCUAUUAUGGAGCCCUGGAAUUUUUAGUUUCUGUCUGCUGGAGGGUUCUCAUCAAUUCUUUUGAAUUAUGAUUCUAGAGUUUAUUUGUGUAGAAUCCCUAAAUUCCUCACUGCUAAUAUUUGGGUUCCAUAGGGUGGUCAUAAUCAGAGCUGGUCCAACAAUGAGGCAAAUUAAGCGGUCACUUCGGGUGCAAAACUUAUGGGGGUGCAGUCGAGACUGCUUUUUCUGUUGAUUUGUUGUAAAACAUGAUGUUUUGGUGCUUAAUUUGUAAAAUUUUAAUGUAAUUUGAUGUUUAAUAGGCUUUUUCUUAAUCCCUCCUUAUUAUCCAACAUUUUUGCUUAUCCAAUGCUUUUAUUUUUCAGUGAUUGGCUUUGGGGGGGGAGCAAAAUUCUGUUCGCCUACACUUGAAAAAUACCUAGGGCCGGCUCUGGUCAUGAUAACACUGGCCAACAUAUUUUGGUGCUUCAAAUGUUAGACCAGUUUCUGGGUAUAUCUGACCUGCUGAUUCCAAAAAUGGCACCAGUUUCCUGUCUUCUGCCAGUUGUCAUCCACUCAGCCAUAGAAAACUGUAAUAAGAAUGUCAAAGAAAAAAUACCGUAUAUACUCGAGUACAAGCCGACGCAACUAUAAGCUGAGGCACCUAAUUUUACCACAAAAAACCUGGGAAAACAUUGACUCCAGUAUAAGCCAAGAGCGGUAAAUUUCAGAAAUAAAAAUAGAUACCAAUAAAAUUACACUAAUUGAGGCAUCAGAAGGUGAAAUGUUUUUGAAUACAGUAGAGUCUCAUCCAAGCUAAACGGGCCGGCAGAAGCUUGGAUAAGCGAAUAACUUGGAUAAUAAGGAGGGAUUAAGGAAAAGCCUACUAAACAUUAAAUGAGGUUAUGAUUUUACAAAUUAAGCACCAACACAUCAUGUUAUACAACACAUUUGACAGAAAAAGUAGUUCAAUGCGCAGUAAUGCUAUAUAGUAAUUAUUGUAUUUACGAAUUUAGCACCAAAAUAUCAUGAUAUAUUGAAAACAUUGACUACAAAAUGGCUUGGAUAAUCCAGAAGCUUGGAUAAGGAGGCUUGGAUAAGUGAAACUCUACUGUAUUUACAUAAAACUGUAAUUUAAGAUAAAGCUUUCCAACUUUGAUUAAAUCACCAUUCUCAUCUUCUUCAGUGUAAAUGUGCUUAUGUAUCCUUUUAAUAAUAAUAGAGUAAAAUAAAAAAUGUAAUGAGACUAACAAAUACAGUCAAAUAAUAAAUGCAAUAAUAAAUAGAGUAAAAUAAUAAAUGCAAUAACAACGAUAAUAAUAUCAGAGUGAAAUAAUAAAUUUAUUAAUAGCAAUAAAAAUAGAGUAAAAUAAUAAAUGUAAUAAUACCAAUAAUAAUAAAUGUAUCAUAUAUACUCGAGUAUAAGCCAACACGAAUAUAAGCUAACCAGGACCCUCACCUGAGUAUAAGCCGCGGGGGGGGGCUUUUUCAGUCCUAAAACAGGGCUGAUAGCUAGGCUUAUACUUGAGUAUAUACAGUAACUGAUGUGGUCUAUCCAAUGCAAUAAAAUGAAUAACAAUGGAAGUUCAGCACAAUGUAAGAUGUGAUGCUGGUGAGGAGUAAUCCCUGUCCCUUUGCAGCAAAUAACUGAAUCCUGGCUGGGAGCUGGUUUUGCAAGGUAUGAUCUGAGAUGCUUCUAUGGCUCAUGAUGUCACAAACGUCCUUAGACCACUCUCCGCUUUCGCAGGAGACAUGAAGAAUGGCACCCUGUCAACCCAUCUCAUGCCGCUCUGAGCUCUCAUUGCGUUUCUCCACUGAUGCAUUUCCUUUGGUGAUGCUCCAUCCAUCAGACAAAAACAUUCAGAGACAAGGAGACAAAACCUGCAAAGCAAGACUUACAGGAGAAUAAUAGAACCAUAGAGUUGGAAGAGACCUCGUGGGCCAUCCAGUCCAACCCCCUGCCAAGAAGCAGGGAAAUCUGUGGGUUAAAUCCUUGUGCCAGCAGGACUGGUGACUUGAAAGUUGGUUUGCUGACCUGAAGGUUGCUGGUUUGAAUGAGUUCCCAUUAUCAGCACGGAUGAGCUCCCAUUAUCAGCUCCAGCUCCAUAUGGGGACAUGAGAGAAGCCUCCCACAAGGAUGGUAAAAAUAUCCGGGCAUCCCUUGGGCAAUGUCCUUGCAGGUGGUCAAUUCUCUCACACGAGAAAUGAUUGCAAUAAAUCACUGCUGACCGAGAGGUUAUGAGUUCGAAGCCAGCACAGGUUGGGUUAAGCCUCCGACCAUUAAUAGCCUAGCUUGCUGUUGACCUAAGCAGCCCGAAAGACAGUUGCAUCUGUCAAGUAAGAGAUUUAGGUACCACUUUAUGCAGGGAGGCUAAUUUAACUAAAUUACGACACUAUAAGAAUGAGGAAGUACUACCAUCAAGGGCUCGGUGUCACUAGUGGACGGUGAAGCGGCAGCUCCCCCUGUGGCCGGAAUCGAGCAUGCCCUCAUGAAGCUGGAAGCUCAAAAAUGUGAAAUUACCUCUGUGUCUGUCUAUAUGUUAGAUGUCUAAUGGCAUUGAAUGUUUUCCAUGUAUAUGUGUAUUGUGAUUUGCCCUGAGUCCCUUUUGGGGUGAGAAGGUGGAAUAUAAAUACUGUAAAUUAAAUAAAUAAAUAAAUAAAUUUAAAGUUCAGACCAAAACCUAUGGUGGAUUCCUAUCCCACUGUGAUGAAACCUACCUUCUGCCACUAACAUAAAAAUGCAUGACUGCAAAAUCCAGACCAAUUUCUAUUUUUAUUCCCAACUAGGAACUAUUAGUUAAAUCAACUGUCACUUAGGAAGUCGACACUUGUGCUUGGUUCCAUUGAUUCCAUAAAUCGAUUCUCGC
Anolis carolinensis (green anole) is the source of this 3276-nucleotide long non-coding RNA. RefSeq lists it as uncharacterized. The record is from RefSeq and is a predicted model, not a curated record. Lineage: Eukaryota; Metazoa; Chordata; Lepidosauria; Squamata; Anolidae. The transcript has 3 exons.